RNAcentral lists this ribosomal RNA (251 nucleotides) under uncultured prokaryote. RNAcentral's name for it is "partial 16S rRNA". It matches the Rfam family "Bacterial small subunit ribosomal RNA", at positions 525 to 775 of the family's 1533-position model. The record is from RNAcentral.
ACGGAGGGUCCGAGCGUUAUCCGGAUUUAUUGGGUUUAAAGGGUGCGUAGGCGGUUUUAUAAGUCAGCGGUGAAAUUCUCCGGCUCAACCGGGGGACUGCCGUUGAUACUGUAAGGCUAGGAUAUGGUUGCUGUGGGUGGAAUGUGUGGUAUGGCAGCAAAAAGCGUAGAGAUUGCAGAGGAUAUAAGAUGGGAAGGCGACCAAACAGGCUUAAAAUCACGUUGAGGCCCGAAAGUGUGUCGAUCAAACAG